This 252-nucleotide ribosomal RNA is filed under the name uncultured bacterium. RNAcentral describes it as "partial 16S ribosomal RNA". It matches the Rfam family "Bacterial small subunit ribosomal RNA", at positions 524 to 776 of the family's 1533-position model. The record is from RNAcentral.
UACGGGGGAGCAAGCGUUGUUCGGAUUUACUGGCGUAAAGGGCGCGUAGGCGGUCGUGACAAGUCACUUGUGAAAUCUCCGGGCUUAACUCGGAACGGUCAAGUGAUACUGUCGGACUAGAGUACAGAAGGGGCAACUGGAAUUCUGCGGUGUAGCGGUGAAAUGCGUAGAUAUCGAGAGGAACACCUGCGGCGAAGCGGCGUCCUGGCUCGCAUCUGACGCUCAGACACGACAGCAUGGGGAGCGAACGGG